RNAcentral lists this ribosomal RNA (471 nucleotides) under uncultured Rhodospirillaceae bacterium. RNAcentral describes it as "bacterial SSU rRNA". It matches the Rfam family "Bacterial small subunit ribosomal RNA", at positions 8 to 523 of the family's 1533-position model. Lineage: Bacteria; Pseudomonadati; Pseudomonadota; Alphaproteobacteria; Rhodospirillales; Rhodospirillaceae. The record is from RNAcentral.
AGAGUUUGAUUAUGGCUCAGAACGAACGCUGGCGGCAGGCCUAACACAUGCAAGUCGAACGCGUGUAGCAAUACACGAGUGGCGCACGGGUGAGUAACACGUGGGAAUCAACCCUGAGGUUCGGAAUAACCGCGGGAAACUGCGGCUAAUACCGAAUAUCCCCUAUGGGGGAAAGAUUUAUCGCCUUGGGACGAGCCCGCGUCCGAUUAGCUAGUUGGUGAGGUAACGGCUCACCAAGGCUACGAUCGGUAGCUGGUCUGAGAGGAUGACCAGCCACACUGGAACUGAGAUACGGUCCAGACUCCUACGGGAGGCAGCAGUGGGGAAUAUUGGGCAAUGGAGGCAACUCUGACCCAGCCAUGCCGCGUGGGUGACGAAGGUCUUCGGAUUGUAAAGCCCUUUCGGCGGGGACGAUGAUGACGGUACCCGCAGAAGAAGCCCCGGCUAACUUCGUGCCAGCCGCCGCGGUAA